UACGUAGGUGGCAAGCGUUGUCCGGAUUUAUUGGGUUUAAAGGGUGCGUAGGCGGUCUAUUAAGUCAGUGCUGAAAUAUCCCGGCUUAACCGGGAGGGUGGCAUUGAUACUGAUGGACUUGAGUGCAGUCGAGGUAGGCGGAAUUGACGGUGUAGCGGUGAAAUGCUUAGAUAUGACAUAGAACACCAAUUGCGAAGGCAGCUUACUACAGGGAUAUUGACACUGAGGCACGAAAGCGUGGGGAUCAAACAGG
RNAcentral lists this ribosomal RNA (253 nucleotides) under uncultured bacterium. Its description in RNAcentral is "partial 16S ribosomal RNA". It matches the Rfam family "Bacterial small subunit ribosomal RNA", at positions 524 to 776 of the family's 1533-position model. The record is from RNAcentral.